GGAGAUGUAGCUCAGAUGGUAGAGCGCUCGCUUUGCAAGUGAGAGGUACGGGGAUCGAUAGUUCUCAUUUUCA
This 73-nucleotide transfer RNA is filed under the name Jatropha curcas. It matches the Rfam family "tRNA". From Rfam's summary of the family: Transfer RNA (tRNA) molecules are approximately 80 nucleotides in length. Their secondary structure includes four short double-helical elements and three loops (D, anti-codon, and T loops). Further hydrogen bonds mediate the characteristic L-shaped molecular structure. tRNAs have two regions of fundamental functional importance: the anti-codon, which is responsible for specific mRNA codon recognition, and the 3' end, to which the tRNAs corresponding amino acid is attached (by aminoacyl-tRNA synthetases). tRNAs cope with the degeneracy of the genetic code in two manners: having more than one tRNA (with a specific anti-codon) for a particular amino acid; and 'wobble' base-pairing, i.e. permitting non-standard base-pairing at the 3rd anti-codon position. Lineage: Eukaryota; Viridiplantae; Streptophyta; Magnoliopsida; Malpighiales; Euphorbiaceae. The record is from Rfam by way of RNAcentral.